GAUCAUGGCUCAGGACGAACGCUGGCGGCGUGCUUAACACAUGCAAGUCGAACGAGAAUCUGCGGAAAGAGGAUUCAUCCAAUUGAAGCAGAGGACAGUGGCGGACGGGUGAGUAACGCGUGAGGAACCUGCCUUUCAGAGGGGGACGAACAGUUGGAAACGACUGCUAAUACCGCAUAACAUAUAGAUGUCGCAUGGCAUUUAUAUCAAAGAUUUAUCGCUGAAAG
Molecule: ribosomal RNA, 227 nt
Filed under: uncultured bacterium
Lineage: Bacteria
Description: partial 16S ribosomal RNA
Rfam family: Bacterial small subunit ribosomal RNA
Source: RNAcentral